RNAcentral lists this long non-coding RNA (1913 nucleotides) under Astyanax mexicanus (Mexican tetra). Its description in RNAcentral is "lncRNA (ENSAMXG00005022136.1)". Lineage: Eukaryota; Metazoa; Chordata; Actinopteri; Characiformes; Acestrorhamphidae. The record is from RNAcentral.
UUUUAAAUAUGCAUGUUUUUAGGUGGUGAUUUGUCUCUUUGUAUACGUCAUUUCAUACACUUCAUGCAUGUUGUUGCACUAGAUCAGUUGCCUAUUUUAAUACAUGCUGUGUGUCCCAACACUUUAUGUGCUAAACUUUUUUGACAUAAACUAAAUGCAUUGUACCAAUCAUCGACUGAUAAUUAAUUUAUUCAUUCAUGCACAUCAAACAAGUAAACAUAUACGAGCGGAUUGGCUGCACUGCAGUAAUGAGUGAGUGCACUUAUUUGCUUAAUGCAAUAGUAUUUAUGUAGUCACUACCAUUAUUUUUUGCAUGCAUUUCGCGUGCAUUUGUAAUAACGAUUGUCUUAGCGUUGCACGUCCAUUCUGCACGUCUCUUUUGUACGUUGUUGUUUACGUACGUACGUGCGUUUAUUUUGCAGUGCAUUUGUCGCUAUUGUCGAAUGAUAAUGAUUGCACUCGUUUAUGCAAAUCAAAAAAGUGAACUAACAAAUGCAUUUAGCUGUUUUGCAUUGUCCAUGUACUCAUUUGCUCAAUGCAACGAUAGUAUCGUAUUCGCUACGCUUUUCUAGCGUGCAUUUCUAACUAUUCAACUUCCUCCGACGUUCUGCACAUGCUCAGUAGCGCGCGGAAAGUAUCGCUAAUCGUAGGCUCGAGCGACGCGAGAGGCAGCAGAAAGGCAGGAACGGCUGCACGAGGCGCUGCGUGCUGUUUGGAGGGCUGCCUGAAAUGAGACCAUCCUCUGCGUUUCUCAUGGACUGAGCUCUGCAGCGGGUGAAAGGAUGUGAAUCUCUCCCUUGUUCACUGUUCCUGGGAUGUGUCCAGCUCCACGGGCGUGUGAGGGAGACGCUGAUGGAUGAAAUGAUGGAGGAGUCGAGGGAACAGUCGGGGGGGAGUGGAGAGGAGGAGGAGACUGAGCCGGGUUUGUUGACUGAAAUAGUCCAGGUCGGCGUGGACGCUGAAUCAGGUGGAGAUGGGGAGAUAGCACCUGCUGAUUGGCUGGAACCACUGGAUGAGGAAUGUGGCGAGGCUGGGAAAGAAGGUGUGCAGAAUGGCAGCAGCGAGCAACAAGGCGGCAGAAGGAAAAGAGGAGGAUGGCGGAAAAGAAAAGGAGGAAGGCGGAAGGUCCUUUUGACUGAUGAUUGGAUAGACUGUUCUGAACUGGGCAAAGGCUGGAAGAAAAAAAUCAUUCAUCUGCGCAGCACUUCUGACAUACCCAAACAAACCAUGAACUACAUGAGUCCAAACGGCUUCCGCAUCAGGAGUAAAAAAAACCUUAAGAAACGUGUGAAGGUCGACGUGACUAACUUUGACUUCCAUAAAGGAAUAUUUGUGGAUGAUCUUGUCAAACCAAAGCGACAGCGGUCCAGAUCCUUACAUUCGUCGUUUUCUUUCUCCACUGAUGCCCUCCAAACCCAAGACAGUAUCACCGAGACCCCUCAGAAACCACGCCUCACCCGCAAAUCUCUUGCAGCAAGUGCAGCCGCACCUUUACCAUUAAAUGAGCUUUCUAGCAGCCCAUUAAAGCUAAGCCAUGUAUCCCCUACCACACAGCAAGCACCACAACCCAGCCUCUCACCCUCUCUACGACUGGGUGACUUCUCAACCCAAAUAGAGAACGAUUUUAUCACUCCUGAAAAAAACAAAACUGCAUUACUGUCCCGUUCCUGGCUCCAGUCCCCCCUGGCUCCUGUCAGCCCAGCUGAAACUCCAUCUGAGAAAGACCCGCCCACAUUCCUGAGUGCACUUAAAAGCUCCCCAGACAUCCAUCGGCCAUCGGACGCCAGUGCAGCGAUCAAUGGAGAGAAGCAGGAGAAUGGUUUCUCUUACAACUCUGCCUGUGAUCUGCAGCCUCUGGACUACAUUGCCCAGGAUGCACCAUACAGUGACAUUACACCCAAUCACAAUCUCAA